Molecule: non-coding RNA, 240 nt
Organism: Vicia faba (fava bean)
Lineage: Eukaryota; Viridiplantae; Streptophyta; Magnoliopsida; Fabales; Fabaceae
Source: the annotation of a GenBank genome assembly
AUGCUUAUGGUUUGGUGCAUUUUUACGAAAAAUACAACUUUGGUCUUGCCCGCAAGCGUUACUACCGUUUUGCAACUCGUGUGUGACAUGUUUGACAAAAUGAGGGGUUCAUUCAGUUCAGAUGGUGUCCGUUACAGAGGCCGUGAUAGAGAUUUGCAAACAAGUCUUUUGUCCGGAACCUGCACAAAGAUUACAUGGUAUGUACUAAAAGCAUUGGACUUCUAUCUCACUCAUUCUUGA